Molecule: ribosomal RNA, 103 nt
Filed under: Listeria ivanovii
Lineage: Bacteria; Bacillati; Bacillota; Bacilli; Caryophanales; Listeriaceae
Source: RNAcentral
AAGAGAGGAGAAGGUCACACCCGUUCCCAUCCCGAACACGGUAGUUAAGCUUCUCUGCGCCAAUGGUAGUUGGGGGCUUCCCCCUGCGAGAGUAGGUCGCUGC